Molecule: ribosomal RNA, 254 nt
Filed under: uncultured bacterium
Lineage: Bacteria
Description: partial 16S ribosomal RNA
Rfam family: Bacterial small subunit ribosomal RNA
Source: RNAcentral
UACGUAGGGUCCAAGCGUUGUCCGGAUUUAUUGGGCGUAAAGAGCUCGUAGGUGGUUCGCUAAGUCGGAUGUGAAAACUCGGGGCUCAACCCCGAGACGCCAUCCGAUACUGGCGUGACUUGAGUCUGGUAGGGGAGAUCGGAAUUCCUGGUGUAGCGGUGAAAUGCGUAGAUAUCAGGAGGAACACCUGCGGUGUAGACGGCUUUCUGGACCAUUACUGACACUGAGACACGAAAGCGUGGGUAGCAAACAGG